ACAAAAAUCUUAAAUGUUAAGAGAAACGUGAACACACCAUUGAAUUAACGUCCCUUAAAUCAUAAACGAUGCGCAUUUUUCUCACAUUCCUUUCUUUACUACCGAAGUUUUUUUUUUUUUUAAAUAUAAUGCAUCAAUUGAUACAAGUGUAAUUGUGUAUGACUUCUUUAAAAAUUAUGAAACAUACGAUAAGAUAAACGGAAUAAAGAAAUAGUUUCCUUGUGUCAAAAUCCAAAAUCUGAAGUGCAGUCUAACUCACCAUGUGGUUCCUAAUAUCACUAGUGGCGUUUAGAUUGUACGUUGUAAAGAAACCUCUGCAUCCAUCAUGAGUUUAAUUUCUAUUUGUAAUGGUUUCAUUGGGAUUUUUUUUGGCAUACAUAUAUAUUAAUAAUAUUUUAUACACUUGUAUUUCAUAGCUAAGUAAUAACGAAUUCGUUGUGGAAAACAAACAAAUGACCUAUAAUGGUUUACUUUUACAAAUUGUGACUUGGAUGGAGAGUUGUCUCAUUGGCACUCAUACCACAUAUUCUUAUAUCUAAUAAAUGAAAUUAAAACAUACAAUUGAAAACUUUAAAUGUAUAAAAAUGCAAAAAAUCCCAAUAAAAUCGUUUACAGUAAAUAUUAAAUCUGACAUCUACUAUUGUAGGGCUGGUGUCGCCUGUACUCCAACAGGUAGUAUACGUUUAGUUGAUGGAUCUAAUUCAGAUGAAGGAAGAUUGGAAAUUUAUCACAAUGGCACUUGGGGUACUGUGUGUGAUGAUCAUUUCGACUGUGCUGCUGCUAUGGUAGUUUGUCGACAACUUGGCUACAGGAUAGGGUUUUCCUUGGGAAAUUUUGUAAAAGAUGGUAAUGGUACAAUUUGGUUGGACAACGUACAUUGUAGUGGGACGGAGAGCAGCAUAUCAAUAUGCCCACAUAAUUAUUGGAAGGUUCAUGACUGCGGUCAUCAUGAAGAUGUAGGAGUGUAUUGCUUUAGCUCAUAUGAUAACAGUUAUGAAUCGCAUUUCUACAGGAAAUAUUGCGAUGGAACAUCAUUGGAUAAGAAACUAUGUGACAGCGCUUGUUGUACUGGUAAGUUUUACUUCAACCAGAGCUGUGAUUUAUUCUUUUCGUUAAGACAAUGUAACUUCUAAGAAUUUUAAAUAAUCACGUGGAAAUCAAGAUUAUUAUUGCAGUGAGUUAUAACAUUUGAACUAUUUUUAUUUCAAUCUGAUUUUUAUUAUAAGUACAUACGUAUCAAGUAUAUAUUUACGAGGCGCUCACAAUACAAACGGUUUUACAGUUAACUAAAAGCCUUUAAAUGUAUUUCCAUAAUUCAAAACAAACACACCUAAGACACACAGAUAAUAUAAUGUCACUGAUCUACUGAACUUAAUUAUGUUAUACGUGUAAUUCUAAUGAAUCUGUAAUAUAUAAUGUAUCAAUAUAAUAUUGGUAUGCUUAUGCUUAUGCUUAAUGUAAUAGUUUUGUUCAAAACUUUUAUUAAGAUAUAUAUAUAUUAUUUUGUACUAAAUAAAAUUAGUUGGCUAAUACUUAUUUCAAAAUGAUAAUGAUUUUGUAUUACUUUGUUUACAUGUCAAUAAUUAUGUGAGUAUUUGUGAUAAAAUUAUUUUCUGUGCUCACCAUUAGUCUACAUACUCAAAUCUUAGUAUUUGUUAAUGUUUGUGCCAAACAUAUUUCAUAUGUUUACCUUACUAACAGAAUACACUUGACUUGCAUCAUUUGGUUCCAUAUUCCAUAUCAAAACAUUACAAAUUGUAAAUGCAUUUUCUUUUUAUCUUGUUUUACAUCGAAUGGACUGCUAUUGGGCGAGAUAAAUGUUACACUUUGUUGAAUAAAAUGGAACCGCCUCUCAUUUCGUUUGGAAUACCAGAAACGCUGAAUCGACCUUGAUGCAUAUGUUCGAAAGGUGCUUCAGUAUUAUCCUAGAAGAUGGCUAUUCGACAUUUAAAAGAUUUUGUCAAGUGCAUGUGGUAGAGAACACAUGUCACAAAGAAUGCAAGAGGAGCCAUAUGAAGUCCAUUUUAUUGAAAGGAUACUUCUCCGAAGAUAAGAAACACUGGGUUUACAACUGGAUAAAAAAAAUAGUCUUAAAAAUGUUGAUAUAAAAAUCUAAUAUUGCUGUGUUAAUAAAAUCUUAUAUUUUCUGAUACUGACAGGCGCCAUCUACAUUUGCUUUAUACAGAUAUUUCAAUGUUCUAUAACUUGAUAAAUAUGAAGUCAUAAAAAAUAUGCAAUAAUAUUUAAUGAAAUGCCAGUUUUGAGUUCCACCGUUUUCUUUAUUUUACACGAAACAAUGUGAACCAUCUCCUAAUCUUGUGUCCUCAAAUCGGACGCUAGAGUUUGUUUUACAGUGUUAUUUCCAUUUUGUGUACCUUUGUUUUUAUAUUUUACUUGAUUUGUACUUUAUCAAGAAAGUGUAUACUAUAUAAGUUAUGUACUAAGAACUACAAAAACUUUCUAUCAGCGUCUUUGUCAAUAAAAUUACUAUCAACAUCAAAAAGUUUUUGUUGGCGUCUUCGUCAGCUACAACACCUUUUUUUUUGCAUCUUUGUCAGCUACAACACUUUUUUGUUGGCGUCUUUGUUAUCCUUGGUGUUUUCCCCCAUGACGUUGUUGGUUUGUUCUAGACUUAUGAGGUUGAAUGUCACUUUGGUAUGUUUCGCCUUUCUUUUACGUAAUACAAUUGUACAUCUAUUAUAUUUUUCUAACAGGAUAAUAAGGGUGCAAAAUAUGGACUUUGUCAUAGCCAUACACAUUGUGAAGCGGUGAAUUCGUUACCUCUGCUAACGGUUUUUCAGUUUAAAGUAGAGAUUUAUUAAACAUUUUGGUUGGAAUCCUUAGUUGGAAAUAAUUUCCGAUGUCAAAUUUCCUUCAAAUCAUCUUGUCAUAUACAAAGCGCCCCGUGCUAGGCUAAUUAUAAUCCAUAUGCAUGUAAAAAGAAUAACUCUCAUGAUAAUCCGGAACAGGUACGCUCGUGACAAAAGCAAAAUGUAGCAAACAGUCAAAAUCGUCAAAAAGUUUAUAUAAUUGAACGACACCUUACAUGUAAUAGAAAAACAAAUGAUAUAGGGUAUCCAUCCAUGACACAAAAUCAGUACAAGCACAGCAAAAAACACACAAAAAGCAAAGGAACAGCGUCUUUAUUGCUGUUCUUCAUCUCAAAGUGAGGUCUUCAACACGGAGCAAAAAAAAACCUCGCCUUACUGCUCACUGUUUAAGACGGUGUAGUUUUUGACCAUUUGUAAUUGAUUUGUUUAAAAACUUUCUAGAGUAUAUAGACAUAACUUAAUUGGCAUAGAUAACGGCAACAGUAGUAUACCGGUGUACAUACAUACAUAAAUGACAUAGAUAAUGAUAUAGAAAGUGACAUUUCACUUUUUGAUGACGGCACAUCAAUUUAUAUAGUGGUUCAUAACGAAUAUGGAGCAGCAGAAAAGUUAAAUAAAGAUAUUGAGGAGAUACAUAUUUGGUUCAAUCAAAGGCUUGUUAAUUUCAACCAAAACAAAACAGAAAUAAUGACUAUAUCAAAAGAGCACCAUAACCUCAUCAACCAUCAAUUUAUAUAAAUAAUAAUAUCAGAGAUGUAUAGUCGCACAAUCAUUUAGGGGCUAUUAUAAAUGAAGACUGAAACUGGAAUAGUUAUGGGAAAAUGAUUAUUAAUAAUGCUCUUUCACUAUUAAUCUUAUUCCGAAUCCUGAAGUUCAAAUUAAAAAGGAAGAAAAAAGAAACCAUUUGAGUAUCGUUUAUGCAUCUAGUCUUAGAUUAUUGUUAUAUUUUCUGGAAAAAUAUCCCUGACUAUUCUAAAACAUCUUUAGAAAACAUGCAACCAGAAGCAGCAAAAUUUGUCACAGGUGGUACCAACAUAACACCAAGACAGUUGCUGUACGACAAAUCAGGUUAGGAAACUCCAGUCGCGGCGUAAUAAACAUUAAUUGUUAAAUUGUCUGCAUUAGUCCCAAAUCAGAGGCCAUAUCUACAUGCCUAUAUGACUAGGGGGUCUUCCAAUUUACAAAAUAUAUUAUACAGAACAAGUUAUUAUCCGAAGUCAUUUCUACCAGCAGUUAUAAACUUUUGGAAUGAUAUUCCAGACGAAAUUCGUAUCAAUCAAUCAAAACCUGGUUUUAAGACUAUCUCUUUCAAAAUAUUAUUAAAAUCCCUUUGAUUUUUCACAUAGGUUCUAGAAGAGAACACAUAUGUUUUGUAAGACUACGACUCCAGAAUUGUGUUCAAAAGGACCAUCUUUACAAAAAACAAAUCUGACCCACAGCGCAUUGUCUUCCUGUGGGCACGACGAAAAAAACUUUCAUUACUUCCUCAAAAGUCCAAAAUAUAAUGAAACUCGAAGGGAUACUACAUGUAUCGAGACAGUCUCUUGUAUUAACCCUAAGAUUAUAGUAUACGGUGACAAUUAAAUGUCAGAAAAGGACAAUAAGCUAAUAUUUCAUAAGGUUUCUGAAUAUGUAAAUAAAACAAAACGUUUUGAAAUUUGACCUUGUACAUAUUGUAAAUGUUCUUAUUACUUUAUAUAUUGAUGCCAAAUCGAGUGGACUGCGCGUAAUCUACAUUUAUCGGUCAUGAUGGUGGAUUCAGUGACUCCAUCAGGAAAAUAAAAGUUAACUGUUUUGUUGAUUGAUUUUAUUUUUGUUUUAGUUUUUUUUGUAUUUAUUGACAUUUAUUAUAUGUUACCUUUAGCUGUAAAUACUUUUGGUACGUCAUAUUGUUUGUUAUAUAAUUUUUUUUCGGGAGACGGAUUGAUAAAAUAUUUUCCAGACUUGUUUUCGAAUCUCAUAUUUGACUGCUAUGUAAAAUUGUACUUUUAUACUGAUGUUUCAAUAAUAAAUACUGUUUAAACUAACAGCAAUUGUUAAAUUGAAGAACAUCUAUUAAAGGUAGUUCUUCAUUAUAUUCGAUGCCUUUGUCUCUUGUAUGGUCACUCAUAAUACCUUCUCUAAUAAAAGUUGAAUUAGACAUUUUAAUUUUUAUACGUUUCUGAAAUAGAUGAAUAUCUUAUUUUGAACAAUACAAAUCUAACAACUUGUAACAGUAUCCCCAUGCAAUGAUUUGCUUCUACAGAAAGUCUUGGUAUCUACUGUAAUGAAAUGCGAAGCAUAUGGAUUACAAUAAACACAAAAUAAAA
Long non-coding RNA from Mytilus californianus (California mussel), 5140 nucleotides. RefSeq lists it as uncharacterized. The record is from RefSeq and is a predicted model, not a curated record. The transcript is spliced from 7 exons. Lineage: Eukaryota; Metazoa; Mollusca; Bivalvia; Mytilida; Mytilidae.